CGAACGCUGGCGGCGUGCUUAACACAUGCAAGUCGAACGGUGAAGCGCCUUCCUUUUUGGUGGGUGUGGAUGAGUGGCGAACGGGUGAGUAACACGUGAGUAACCUGCCCCCUUCUUCUGGAUAACCGCAUGAAAGUGUGGCUAAUACGGGAUAUUCUGGGUCUGUCGCAUGAUGGGUCUGGGAAAGAUAUUGUUUCGGUGGGGGAUGGGCUCGCGGCCUAUCAGCUUGUUGGUGGGGUGAUGGCCUACCAAGGCGGUGACGGGUAGCCGGCCUGAGAGGGUGGACGGUCACACUGGGAAUGAGACACGGCCCAGACUCCUACGGGAGGCAGCAGUGAGGAAUAUUGCACAAUGGGCGCAAGCCUGAUGCAGCGACGCCGCGUGAGGGAUGGAGGCCUUCGGGUUGUGAACCUCUUUCGCCAGUGAAGCAGGCCUGCCUCGUUUGUGGGUGGGUUGACGGUAGCUGGAUAAGAAGCGCCGGCUAACUACGUG
This 492-nucleotide ribosomal RNA is filed under the name uncultured bacterium. Its description in RNAcentral is "partial 16S ribosomal RNA". It matches the Rfam family "Bacterial small subunit ribosomal RNA", at positions 30 to 507 of the family's 1533-position model. The record is from RNAcentral.